AAUGAACGCUGGCGGCAGGCCUAACACAUGCAAGUCGAACGGAUCCUUCGGGAUUAGUGGCGGACGGGUGCGUAACGCGUAAGAACUUACCUUUUGGUGGGGGAUAACAAUGGGAAACUGUUGCUAAUACCCCAUAAUGCUGAGGAGCUAAAAGUGAAAACUGCCAAGAGAGAGGCUUGCGUCUGAUUAGCUAGUUGGUGGGGGUAAAGGCCUCCCAAGGCGACGAUCAGUAGCUGGUCUGAGAGGAUGAUCAGCCACACUGGGACUGAGACACGGCCCAGACUCCUACGGGAGGCAGCAGUGAAGAAUUUUCCGCAAUGGGCGAAAGCCUGACGGAGCAAUACCGCGUGAAGGAAGAAGGUCCGUGGAUCGUAAACUUCUUUUCUCAAGGAAGAAUCAAUGCCGGUACUUGAGGAAUAAGCACCGGCUAACUCUGUGCCAGCCGCCGCCGUAA
RNAcentral lists this ribosomal RNA (454 nucleotides) under uncultured bacterium. RNAcentral describes it as "partial 16S ribosomal RNA". It matches the Rfam family "Bacterial small subunit ribosomal RNA", at positions 29 to 523 of the family's 1533-position model. The record is from RNAcentral.